GAAACAGCUGCUAAGACUGGAUAGGAAAUAAAAAGGCAUCUUUUUAUUUUUAAAAGACCUUUUUCGGAAGGUAUGCUUAAAGAGGGGCUUGCGUCACAUUAGUUAGUUGGCAGGGUAAAGGCCUACCAAGACUAUGAUGUGUAGCUGGACUGAGAGGUUGAACAGCCACAUUGGGACUGAGACACGGCCCAAACUCCUACGGGAGGCAGCAGUAGGGAAUUUUCGGCAAUGGAGGAAACUCUGACCGAGCAACGCCGCGUGAACGAUGAAGUAUUUCGGUAUGUAAAGUUCUUUUAUUGAAGAAGAAAAAAUAGUGGAAAAACUAUCUUGACGAUAUUCAAUGAAUAAGCCCCGGCAAACUAUGUGCCAGCAGCCGCGGUAAUACAUAGGGGGCGAGCGUUAUCCGGAAUUAUUGGGCGUAAAGGGUGCGUAGGCGGUUUAAUAAGUCUAUAGUUUAAUUUCAGUGCUUAACACUGUCCUGCUAUAGAAACUAUUAGACUAGAGUGAGAUAGAGGCAAGUGGAAUUCCAUGUGUAGCGGUAAAAUGCGUAAAUAUAUGGAGGAACACCAGAGGCGUAGGCGGCUUGCUGGGUCUUUACUGACGCUGAGGCACGAAAGCGUGGGGAGCAAACAGGAUUAGAUACCCUGGUAGUCCACGCCGUAAACGAUGAGUACUAAGUGUCGGGAUUACUCGGUACUGAAGUUAACACAUUAAGUACUCCGCCUGAGUAGUACGUACGCAAGUAUGAAACUUAAAGGAAUUGACGGGACUCCGCACAAGCGGUGGAUCAUGUUGUUUAAUUCGAAGAUACACGAAAAACCUUACCAGGUCUUGACAUACUCUGCAAAGCUAUAGCAAUAUAGUGGAGGUUAUCAGGGAUACAGGUGGUGCAUGGUUGUCGUCAGCUCGUGUCGUGAGAUGUUAGGUUAAGUCCUAAAACGAGCGCAACCCUUGUCAUUAGUUGCCAGCAUGUCAUGAUGGGCACUUUAAUGAGACUGCCAAUGAAAAAUUGGAGGAAGGUGAGGAUCACGUCAAAUCAUCAUGCCCCUUAUGAUCUGGGCUACAAACGUGAUACAAUGGCUGUUACAAAGAGUAGCUGAAACGCAAGUUUAUAGCCAAUCUCAUAAAAGCAGUCUCAGUUCGGAUUGAAGUCUGCAACUCGACUUCAUGAAGUUGGAAUCGCUAGUAAUCGCGAAUCAGCAUGUCGCGGUGAAUACGUUCUCG
This 1224-nucleotide ribosomal RNA is filed under the name 'Amorphophallus paeoniifolius' leaf yellows phytoplasma. RNAcentral describes it as "bacterial SSU rRNA". It matches the Rfam family "Bacterial small subunit ribosomal RNA", at positions 153 to 1376 of the family's 1533-position model. Lineage: Bacteria; Bacillati; Mycoplasmatota; Mollicutes; Acholeplasmatales; Acholeplasmataceae. The record is from RNAcentral.